GGUGGCUCAGAGGUAGAGCACUUGCCUUGCAUGCAUGAGGUCCUGGGUUCGAUUCCUCAGCACCA
RNAcentral lists this transfer RNA (65 nucleotides) under Dipodomys ordii (Ord's kangaroo rat). It matches the Rfam family "tRNA". From Rfam's summary of the family: Transfer RNA (tRNA) molecules are approximately 80 nucleotides in length. Their secondary structure includes four short double-helical elements and three loops (D, anti-codon, and T loops). Further hydrogen bonds mediate the characteristic L-shaped molecular structure. tRNAs have two regions of fundamental functional importance: the anti-codon, which is responsible for specific mRNA codon recognition, and the 3' end, to which the tRNAs corresponding amino acid is attached (by aminoacyl-tRNA synthetases). tRNAs cope with the degeneracy of the genetic code in two manners: having more than one tRNA (with a specific anti-codon) for a particular amino acid; and 'wobble' base-pairing, i.e. permitting non-standard base-pairing at the 3rd anti-codon position. Lineage: Eukaryota; Metazoa; Chordata; Mammalia; Rodentia; Heteromyidae. The record is from Rfam by way of RNAcentral.